AUUGAACGCUGGCGGCAGGCCUACCACAUGCAAGUCGAGCGAGAGGCGGACGGGUGAGUAAUGUCUGGGAAACUGCCUGAUGGAGGGGGAUAACUACUGGAAACGGUAGCUAAUACCGCAUACCAUCAGAUGUGCCCAGAGGGGAUUAGCUGGUCGGUGGGGUAACGGCUCACCUAGGCGACGAGCCCUAGCUGGGCUAAGAGGAUGACCAGCCACACUGGAACUGAGCCACGUUCCAGACUCCUACGGGAGUCAGCAGUGGGGAAUAUUGCACAAUGGGCGCAAGCCUGAUGCAGCCAUGCCGCGUGUGUGAAGAAGGCCUUCGGGUUGUAAAGCACUUUCAGCGGGGAGGCGUUACCCGCAGAAGAAGCACCGGCUAACUCCGUGCCAGCAGCCGCGGUAAUUC
RNAcentral lists this ribosomal RNA (406 nucleotides) under uncultured bacterium. RNAcentral's name for it is "partial 16S ribosomal RNA". It matches the Rfam family "Bacterial small subunit ribosomal RNA", at positions 30 to 526 of the family's 1533-position model. The record is from RNAcentral.